This 520-nucleotide ribosomal RNA is filed under the name uncultured fungus. RNAcentral's name for it is "eukaryotic LSU rRNA". The stretch from base 125 to 280 matches the Rfam family "5.8S ribosomal RNA". Lineage: Eukaryota; Fungi. The record is from RNAcentral.
CUUUCGAGUGCCGACUAAUAACACAUGUGCAACUGUUAUAUAACUUUAAAACACUGUGAUUGUAAUAUAUAUCUUUGACUGCUUCUUUUCGUAAGGAAGGAACGUAGUAUCAUGGAAAAAGCACAACUUUUAACAAUGGAUCUCUUGGCUCUUGCAUCGAUGAAGAACGCAGCGAAAUGCGAUAGGUAAUGCGAAUUGCAUGCUUUGCGAGUCAUCGAAUCUUUGAACGCACAUUGCACUAUUCUUUUUAACGAAGAGUAGUAUAUCCAGUUGAGUGUAUUCACCAAACACCUUCUUUCUUGAUUUCUAAUAGUAGAUUAAGUUCUGCUAGAGGAGAGAGAGUAAAAGGGGGGAUAUUGAGGGUUCAAAGUUGUUAAUAACUUUGUCCCUUUAAAAGGAUGUAAAGAACUUGUGUUUUCUAUCCUUUCUGUUGCAGGAAAGGGGAGUUUAGAUGUGACUUGUGUUCUCUAUCUUCUUUGAGGGGAAGAGCUACUUGUCUACUAAUCUCUGUCGAUGAUGA